GACCACUAGCGAGGUAUAGAGUUCCUACGUUCAAAUUAUUAAUGUUACUCGUAGGAACUUCAUACCGUGCUCUUGGA
Non-coding RNA from Acyrthosiphon pisum (pea aphid), 77 nucleotides. Lineage: Eukaryota; Metazoa; Arthropoda; Insecta; Hemiptera; Aphididae. The record is from Rfam.